This 74-nucleotide unclassified non-coding RNA is filed under the name Pseudomonas brenneri. Lineage: Bacteria; Pseudomonadati; Pseudomonadota; Gammaproteobacteria; Pseudomonadales; Pseudomonadaceae. The record is from RNAcentral.
CUUUAGCGAGGCUGCGAUGGCGGCGGCACAGGCAGCGAAGAUGUCGCCUGAUCCACCGCUAUCGCAGCCUCGCC